Long non-coding RNA from Cervus hanglu yarkandensis (Yarkand deer), 1956 nucleotides. Lineage: Eukaryota; Metazoa; Chordata; Mammalia; Artiodactyla; Cervidae. The record is from Ensembl.
AAUUGAUAAGGGACUUUCUUCCCUUAAUUUAUUGGCUUCAGCCUCCCCAGUCUGCCCUGGACUCGACCCCUGCAGCUGGAGCCCAGAGCCCCCUUCUCCAUCUACCUCCCGACCUCUCGGAGAGGGGUGGGGGUGGGGGCGGUCACCAGGGCGGGCCAACUGAGGCUCCAAGUGGGAAGGCACACAGGGACGAGGGCAAGGUCGAGUUCCCGCGGAGGAUCCGGUAGGGGAAAGGCGAGCUCACCCCACGUGGCUUUCAAGCCCAGGCGCCCCUCCCGCCGGGCCACAAAGGGAGCCCUCAGCCAGGAGCGCCGGGCGCACAGGAGAGCCGGCGGGAAUCCUCACCAGACUGGGAAGGCAAGGAGAAGCACACCCUGACUGUGGCCCACACCCAUGGGAGCUGUUGUUCAUGACAGCACUUUGGCUCUUUCCACCAUCCGUUUGAGAGCAUUCAGUUUCCUCGACCCACAGAUGAGCAGAGCACAUCUGCCAGCCCAGUUCCCCCUGGCGGAGCGCACCUCUGACCCUCACUUGGAGACCUCCUGGACUCUUCUUGGACUUUCCAGCCAAUGGCUUGCAGUAGUAGGGAAAACUCACUUCUAUUUUGAUGGUAUGGAAGGAGUGAGGCCUGGUAAUCAAACUGGGCAUAAAUCCCAGCUCCAUCACUCACCAACUGUGUGACUUUGGGGAAGUCACUUUUCUGAACCUCGGUUUCCACAACUAUAAAACAAGAAUAAUAAUUUGUAAUUUGCAGAGCUGCUGUGAAAUUAAACAAAGCAAAAUAUGUAAAGGCCUUAGUGGUUUCUGGCCUUCUUAGUGGAGGCACUGGCCUAGUGUAAACACCUCUGACCCCUCUUCCUGUAGGUCCACCACUGGGUUGCCUCAGUUCUGGUGCCAGGUUCUGAGAACAGCCUGCUCCGCCCUCUUUUUCUUUUCUUCCUUCUCAUCCCAGUGUUACCUCCUAUCCUGGCCCCUCUCCAAAUCUGGUGUUACAUGAAAUCGUCUGCCUAAAACUUUGAAGGUGUUCCUAGGCUAGAAAUCUCAGGGGUGUCUUCUCUCUUUUCUUACCCCUCCAUACCUUCUCCCUGGCAUUCUGACUUAGCGAUUCCAUCCAUAAUUGUGGCUUUACCUCAUUUAUAGGGAAGGCUGUCAAAUCUGUUUCAUGCCUUGACUUCCAAGCCCAUCUCUGUCCUCCUUGUUCCCCGAUCUCAACCGUCAGGGGGAAAGUGUACAAUCUGCACUUAGUCAUUUUGCAGACAUAGCCUAUGAAGGCAUAGUAACAUCACCUGUUUAUCGAGCACCGAGUAGGUCCAUGUCUCUGCACCAGGAUACAAUACAGGAGGGAAAAGAUGUGUUUCUUGUCCUCAGGGGCUCCUGGGUCAGAGAGAGUUCCAGUGCCAGGUGCACGUGAGGCAUAACUGUAAACAGGUGUCACUGGAAAUAGAAAGUUAUUUGUCAUUGUGGCCUUUAAUGCUAUCAGUGGAGCCAAGAAUAAGCCAUUGCCAGUACUGUCACAUGGGAGAAGAUAAUGGAAAGAAAGAAGGGAGGAAGGAAAGGAAGUAGAAGAGAAAGAAAAGAAAGAAGAAAAGGAGAAAGAGAAAGGAAGGAAGAAAGAAAAAGGGAGGAAAGGAGGAAGGAAGGAAGGGGGAUUUAAGAAAACAGGCAGAGAGAGAAGUCAUGAGAAAAGUCAAAAGAAGUCAGAAAGAAAAACACCAACACAGUAUAUUAACACACAUAUAUAUAUGGAAUUUGGAAAGAUGGUAAUGACAACCCUAUAUGCGAGACAGCAAAAGAGACACAGAUAUAAAGAACAGACUUUUGGACUCUGUGGGAGAAGGCGAAGGUGGGAUGAUUUGAGAGAAUAGCAUUGAAACAUGUAUAUUACCACAUGUGAAACAGAUGACCAGUCCAAGUUCAAUGUGUGAAACAGGACACUCAAAGCCGGUGCACUGGGAC